GGAGGGGAAGGUGAUAAAUAUUUGCUGGAUAAUAAGCCAGUCUCUCAUGGCUGGAAGACCCCCAAGUUAAAUUCACAAGUAGAGAGAGGCUUAUUUUGGCCACUGCUGGCUCUAGGUCCCUUUGGCUCAGGGUUCAAGGGCAGAGUAAAAAGGCAGCAGGGGCUGGGACAGGGGCUGCAGAGGAGGUCUGAAUAUGCGGUGUUGUCUUCACAGCACCGGGCUGGGCAAGCCACUGACCUCUUGGUGCCUCUGUUCUCCACCUGCAUGCUCUCCCAGGCCCCUUCCAGUGGCCCCGGCAGGCCUGGGCCCUUCUCACUGUCCUGUCCCCACCCAUGCCUCCUCCUUGCGGCUGGCAUCCUUGGAGCACAGAACGAAAAUACGGCCUCACACCACACCCGACUGGCUGGCAUUUCAGCUCACAGACACUUCAUCCCGCGAAGCCGAUCUAAUUUCCACCCUGUGAAAAAAAACAGUUGUCUCGCACUCAGGCAGCCCGCACCAUGGGACAACCAGCUGCUUCCAUGGUGGGGUAAAGGUGGAUAGAAAUUCGGAUCAGGAUCAGCGGCAGGCACACAGAUGCCGACUGGGGUGGAAUAAUCCUUCUUCGUGUUGUGGGAGGAGUCUGGUAGGUGAGAGCUAUGGGCAGGCAGGUGGAAAGGCUGUGACUGCACAGGCAGGGCCAGGCUGCUCUUUAAGGCCAGAAGUAACAUCCUUUCUCUGAGCCUGUUUCCUCAUCUGCGGGUUCUGGAAGGCCCUUCCUAGCUGUUAAGUCCUACAGCUCUCAGUGGCUCAACCUUUGUUCAAAGAUGGAUUUUUGUAACAUCAAUGUAGAGAUCAAAUUCCCAAGCCGUAUCCUUUCCUCCCUUUCUCUGACCCUAGACAUAACAGGACCGGAGCCGUUGUUCCUCUCCCCUCUGCUCCCAGGCAGGUCCUUUCUGCAGCCACCUGGUUGCUGGGGCUGGCGGUGCUGUUCUGGAGUCCGACACAGGAAAGAUUUCCAAGAUCCUGUGGGGUAUCCAAGAUUGGCUAGAAUGAGAAAAUUCCAAGGAGACCAAAGAGGUGCGAAGCUACCUUCAUUUGCCAAAUAGCAGGGAGGGUGGAAGACUGAAUUAUCACGGCAGAAUCAGCCCUGACUGGCUGACUAGGCAGAAAGUUCAGAGAUCCAGAAAAGAAAUGUGACGUGGUCUAAGGGCCAGACGGGGCUCAUCAAAGUCAGCUUUGCCCCAGGGAGACGCCUCUUUUCCUAGGGUGACCCGAUUAGCAGAUCAGAGAAGACAGAGUUGGAUCGUGGUGGGUGUUUGAACAGCCCCUACUCAAGGAGUCUGUGUAGAGGGGAAUGAACUGGGAGAGUGGCUUACAGUUCAAACAUUGCCCAAGCUCCAACCUGUUCAAAAAUUUUGCCAGAGACUUGGAUGAAGACACAAUAGGUGUGUGCAUCUGAGCCUCGAAAGCACAGGUUAUUCUGAUACAGUUGAUUUAUGAUCUAAAGCUUUCUUCCUAAGCAGAAUGCUGGGCCAAAAUCAACAAGAAGAAGUUUAACAGUAAUCGAUGUAAAGUCAGGUACUUUCAGAUCAAAAAAAAAAAAAAAUCAAUGACCUAAGGAGCAAGCCAAGGGUGGGUAGAUAGGGCCGGCUUGGCAGAAUUCCACCUGAAAUGAUCUGGUCGUUUUUCUUUGACCCCACAAGGUCAGUGUAAGCAUAAACAGUGUGAUGCGGCUACUAACACUGUGGCCCCCGAGGUGGGUUCCUAACUGAAUGGGGCUUUGGUGGUGGAAUGGACUGUCUUCCAGUCCCCACUCUCUGCUCUGCUCAGCUUUAGUAGGUGCUGUGGGUUCAAAUCUGCACCCCACACUUUAUAGGCACAGAGUGUCCAGAGGAGGGACCCAGACAGGGGCAGUGGGGCCUAAUGUCCUCAGGUGAGGAAUGAUGAAUGGAAUCUCGGGGAAGGCUUAGCGGGGCAAUCUGGCUGCCUUGGAAAGACCUAGGAAGGCGAGAGGAGCCGAGACCAGUGGGUGGAAGAGACAGGGCAACAGCUUUGGGGGUACUCAGAAAGGGUGUUCUCCUGGGAGGGCUUGUCUGUGGGUGACAG
This is a long non-coding RNA of Bos indicus x Bos taurus (hybrid cattle), 2088 nucleotides long. The record is from Ensembl. Lineage: Eukaryota; Metazoa; Chordata; Mammalia; Artiodactyla; Bovidae.